Neofelis nebulosa (Clouded leopard) is the source of this 3892-nucleotide long non-coding RNA. RefSeq lists it as uncharacterized. The transcript has 2 exons. NCBI's taxonomy places the organism in Eukaryota, Metazoa, Chordata, Mammalia, Carnivora, Felidae. The record is from RefSeq and is a predicted model, not a curated record.
GGGAGAGUUGCCCCCAGAAGGCUCACUUCUAAUUUGUGAAACCAGAGGGAACAGAUGGUGAAGCUGAGUGGGGUUGGGUUCCAGUCACCGGAAGUGCUGUGCUCAGGCACUAGGCCCUUUCUGAGUUCUGCCUUUGAGGCAUGUGGCUUGGAUUUCAUGCUCCUGUCUCCCUCUUUUGUCUGUGCGGGUUUGGCUCACAUGUGUGUCUGAAGGCUCAGUGACCAAGAACUCUCUCCCAUCUGGGGGGUAAGGCCCCCUUGUUCCUUUUCAUUUCUUGCUUUUAAAACAGAGGAAAAUAUUUCCAGCUUUUCACAAAGGGCUUUGAAGUCUAGUCAUGGGGAGUACUCUGUCACCUCAAGCUGGUUGUUAGCGUGCAACCUGUUUGCUAAUAAACCAAUGCGGGACCCUGGUGUCAAAAUGCUUAAAAUGGUCAAAUCAGCAGGGACUCUGUUUCUGCAUUCGACAUGCCUUUCCCAUUUUCCAGCCUCAUGCAGAACAUACACCUGAAUCAGGAGGUGGCUCGGCGUGAACUCUUGUAAAUUGGAGUGGGUAUCUAGGGAUUGGGGAGCAGACACUUCUUCUUUUAACCUUUCGAGACCAGGAAUCAUUUGGCCCCAAAUCCACAAUGUACUGAACCUGGGGUGUAAAAGCCGUACAGUGUAUUAAAUGUGAAUUUGAGCCCAUGAAUUCUGCCCGCACUGACUCUAUAAAACAGCCUCUCCUUUUCAUAAAGCCGGCCCAUAAACGGCUGCCAGCGAAGCAGAAAGACUCCUUAGGACUGUGGCUCGCGUUCCGUCUGGGGUUGUCAACAAACCCCCUUUAUGAGUGGAAUAGACCUCUUGUAUGUGUCGAACUUCUGGCUUUUUACAGAGUGUGUCAGGAGCCAGGCUAGGCAAGCGUUAGGCGCUGUUUGCUGAGUGCAUUUAUUGCCUUUGCAUAAUUUAUGAGCUGGAGGGGUUGACCAUCAUCCGUCUCUGCCAGGGGCUGGCACUCGAGGCUCCGGAGAGCGGAGCUGUAAAUUGGAUGGUGCGCUCCUGCUGAGCUCACGGCAAAGUCCUCGGGUCAGUAUGGGAAUUUAAUACCAGAAAUGGAACUGUUUUCUCAGCGCACCAUGUGGGCCCCAGUGCAGCAGAGACUGUUUUGGCAGACUCUGCGACCGGCCUUGUCGAGGAGCUGUCACUCACCCGGCAUGUUGUGUGGGGAGCCUGAGCAUUUUUAAUCGGCUUGGCAUCCGUGCUGCUUCCAUAAUGGAUACCAGUAGGUCUCAGUUCUUCACCAUAUGCUUAACUCUGGAGACAAGGUGCUUCUGGGUAUAUCAGUAAUUACUUGAUGCAGAAUUAAGUGGACCUUGAAAUUAGAACUGGACUGUUGGAAAGCAGAAAGCUUAACACUUUGAUAGAAAUAACCAUUCCCAGGGACAUACCGCUGUUAGGAUCGGUAGGGGUGGGGGCUGGGCACGGACAGCGGUAGUUCUUUUCCAGGCUCCCCACUCCUUCUUCCCCCUGCACACCAGUCCUUGGGGACAUGGGCAAGUGCCAUGCCACAGCCUUCAGCUGUCACUGAUUGCCUCGUGAGGCGAGCCGGGAUCAUCUGGGGAGAGGAGUCUGCCUGGCAAAAUACGCUUCUCUCUUCCACGCCCUCCUGAAUGAUGCCUUGUCACUCUUGAAAUUGCGCCCGUAACUUAGGAACCCCAACGAAAGCCUAAGCAAAGGCAACGGAAAAGUCACACAAUCAGGAGAACAGAACCUCAUCUGUCUGUUGUUCUAGGCCUUCAAAGUCUUCAUCUAGCCUCUUUGGACUUAUCAGAAUAGAGAAAUUACUCAUCAGGCAAAAGGAAGUUUAGACCUUCUCAGUUUGGAAGCCUGGUUGAAAACAGUGCAGUCGUACUUGGUUAAAGCAUGGUCACUAAAACUCUGAUAACCCUAUGGCAUUGAGGAGCCGGCGAGGACAGUGGAAGGUUAGAGCCCUCCAGUCUGUAAGUUUGUGCUGUGAGUUCCUAAAUACCUACAGUAGAGAGUCUAAGCUACAAAGAGGAAGCAGUCCCCAAGUUAUGUCUUAUAAUAGCAUGCUGUCCAUUCGGAUGGAGUUUUGGUUACUUUCGAUGGAAAGCACUCUAAUGGUGGUUCUUAAACAAUAAGGUAACUUACUGUUACCUGAACAAAAAUGUCCAGAGGCAGGCUGCUCUUAGGUUGGUUCAAGUGGCCCCAUUGUGCCAGGCCAUUUCUUGGCCCCGCUCUCUUGUUUUAGUACUUGGGCUUUUUGCCUCAUUUUUGCAAAGUCGCUACCACAGAUCCAGACGUCACAUCCUCGUUCCGUCGCGUUCAGAGGCAAGAGGCAAGUGCUUCUUGCUUUUCUUCUUUUUUGAGGAGAAAAAAAUUUUUUCAGAACCCUCAGCAGACAUUUCCUCAAGUCUCAGCCAACGGUGUGUCUUAUGGCCACCCUUAGCUAUAAGCAAAGUUGGGAAAGAGAGACUAUCUGGCCUUUUCAGUCUCAAAAUGUCAGAAGCUACGGACUAGGGGAAAGGGGCUUGCAAAUGACUAUGGGUAUCUAGCCAGUAGUGACUGCUGUAUAGGCAAAUUUAUUUUCUGUUUCUGUUCAUAGCUACAUCAACUCCCGUGUCCAGGUGGCCACACUAAAAACCUUGGCAUCAUCCGAGACUCGUCCCUCUUCCUUGCUUCUCGCAUCCAUGUAUUACCACGUCCUAUUGGUUCUGCCUUCAGAACUACUCUGCCAUCUAUCUGUUCCUCCCUUUCUUAAACCAUGCGUCAUGCUGGUUUAGACAGUGUUGUAAGGGUUGCCACACCGGUCACCUGUGACCAGUGUCUUCUUCCCAACCCCAGCUCAUGGCCUCUCCUCUGCCCUGUGGGAAGAGUCAUCCUAAUGGACUAUAGCUCUCAUCACACCACACCUCUGCUCAGUGUUAGUGUUAUAGCUUUCCCUCUGCUGCUAAACUGAAAGCUACCUUAGGGCCAGUCCUGCGUCCUGCUUGGUUGAGACUUUUGAGUGAAUGAAUGAAUAUUUUUAUCCGUUGCACGUUUACUGUGACAGAAUACAUCCCCCCCCCCCCUACUUUUGAAAUCAAAUGGGUAACAAACACUCUUGGUUUAAAAAGAAAAUGUGGUUUUAUUUUUUCCCCCUUUGCCUCUAAUGAAGAAGCCCAAGUUUUGAGUUAACUCUCGUUCUUUGCUUAUCCCAAACUUAGCUGACCAGUUGGAAUUUGGGGUCAGUUAGCUACAAUGUGACUCUACUGUCUUAAAACAGAUUUCUUUGCCCAUAUUGCUGAUUUAUUUCCCUGACCUCUUCUUAUCAUUGGUGUGUGUUUUUGUAGGGAAUAUUCCCUCUUUUCUCUGGGCCUCUAAGCCACAGAAAAGGCAGCCAUCACAAACUGGUGAGCUCUGCCCACUGUGUUUCUUCCAAAGUCCAAAUGAGCGAAUAGAGUGUCCGGAGGCUUACCUCUUUUCCUGUGCAAAAGCACCGGGAGAGAUACAACCAUUCACAUUAGCUGAAGGUAGAAGGUCUCCAUUAAGAUAUCAAUUUGCUCUGAAUCCCAGUGAAUGACCUUGAUGCACCUUAGUCCUGCGGCCAGAUUGGCUCCUUGAUGGGCAUCCCCUCUCCCGUGCAGUGGGGGUGCACACCAUUGUGAUCCAGCACCUUGCCAGACUGACCACAGGAAGAGGCACAGAGCGCAGGCGUCGAAUGAAAUCCACAGAGCAACUUCACAGCAUUUCGCUUCUGAUUCUGUUUAUCAUCGUUUGAACUGAAGAAACUCUGUACAGCUUAGGCAGCAUUUUUUUAUUUCCUCUAUUUGUCUUUCCUCUUUUUUUUUUCUGUAUCAAAAAUAAAAGUCUACUCAAUUUUUUCACUAACCCUUAUUCUCUUAUCUUUCUUUUCA